RNAcentral lists this ribosomal RNA (251 nucleotides) under uncultured prokaryote. RNAcentral describes it as "partial 16S rRNA". It matches the Rfam family "Bacterial small subunit ribosomal RNA", at positions 525 to 775 of the family's 1533-position model. The record is from RNAcentral.
ACGGAGGGUGCAAGCGUUGUUCGGAAUUACUGGGCGUAAAGCGCACGUAGGCGGCUUUGUAAGUCAGAUGUGAAAUACUUGGGCUCAACUGAAGAACUGCAUCUGAAACUGCAUAACUUGAGUCCAGAAGAGGGAAAUGGAAUUCCCGGUGUAGAGGUGAAAUUCGUAGAUAUCGGGAGGAACACCAGUGGCGAAGGCGGUUUCCUGGUCUGAUACUGACGCUGAGGCGCGAAAGUGUGGGGAGCAAACAG